UGUCCGCCGAAAGCCUAAGGGUUCCUGGGGAAGGCUCGUCCGCCCAGGGUAAGUCGGGACCUAAGGCGAGGCCGAAAGGCGUAGUCGAAGGACAACAGGUUGAAAUUCCUGUACCACCGCAGCCGUUAUGAGCAAUGGGGGGACGCAGAAGGAUAGGGACGCGAGCUGAUGGAUGCUCGUCCAAGCAGUGAGGCUGGUCAGUAGGCAAAUCCGCUGACCGUAAGGCUGGGCUGUGACGGGGAGGGAAAAUUACAGUACCGAAGGUCUUGAUUUCAUGCUGCCAAGAAAAGCCUCUAGCCAGGUGAAGGUGCCCGUACCGCAAACCGACACAGGUAGGCGAGAAGAGAAUUCUAAGGCGCGCGGAAGAACUCUCGUUAAGGAACUCGGCAAAAUGACCCCGUAACUUUGGGAGAAGGGGUGCCCCGGUAGGGUUUAUAGCCCGAGGGGGCCGCAGUGAAUAGGCCCGAGCGACUGUUUAGCAAAAACACAGGUCUGUGCGAAGCCGUAAGGCGAAGUAUACGGGCUGACGCCUGCCCGGUGCUGGAAGGUUAAGGGGAGUGGUUAGCCGUAAGGCGAAGCUAUGAACCGAAGCCCCAGUAAACGGCGGCCGUAACUAUAACGGUCCUAAGGUAGCGAAAUUCCUUGUCAGGUAAAUUCUGACCCGCACGAAUGGCGUAACGACUUGGGCGCUGUCUCAACGAGAGAUCCGGUGAAAUUUUAAUACCUGUGAAGAUGCAGGUUACCCGCGACAAGACGGAAAGACCCCAUGGAGCUUUACUGUAGCUUGAUAUUGGACUUUGGUACGGACUGUACAGGAUAGGUGGGAGCCUUUGAAGCAGGAGCGCAAGCUUCUGUGGAGGCGCCGUUGGGAUACCACCCUGUUCGUAUCGGAGUUCUAACCUAGGACCGUGACCCGGUUCGGGGACAGUGUCAGGUGGACAGUUUGACUGGGGCGGUCGCCUCCUAAAGAGUAACGGAGGCGCCCCAAGGUUCCCUCAGAAUGGUUGGAAAUCAUUCGAAGAGUGCAAAGGCAUAAGGGAGCUUGACUGCGAGACCUACAAGUCGAGCAGGGACGAAAGUCGGGCUUAGUGAUCCGGUGGUACCGCAUGGAAGGGCCAUCGCUCAACGGAUAAAAGCUACCCUGGGGAUAACAGGCUUAUCUCCCCCAAGAGUCC
RNAcentral lists this ribosomal RNA (1175 nucleotides) under Stenotrophomonas maltophilia group sp. RNC7. Its description in RNAcentral is "partial 23S ribosomal RNA". It matches the Rfam family "Bacterial large subunit ribosomal RNA", at positions 1331 to 2501 of the family's 2925-position model. Lineage: Bacteria; Pseudomonadati; Pseudomonadota; Gammaproteobacteria; Lysobacterales; Lysobacteraceae. The record is from RNAcentral.